Ovis aries (sheep) is the source of this 72-nucleotide non-coding RNA. The record is from Rfam. Lineage: Eukaryota; Metazoa; Chordata; Mammalia; Artiodactyla; Bovidae.
UCCCUGGUAGCUCAGAUUGUAAAGAAUCUGCCUGCAAUGCAGGAGACCAGGUUCAAUCCCUAGGUCAGGGAG